GACGAACGCUGGCGGCGUGCUUAACACAUGCAAGUCGAACGGAAAGGCCUGCUUUCCCUUGUGGAUUGCGGGUACUCGAGUGGCGAACGGGUGAGUAACACGUGAGUGAUCUGCCCCCAACUUGGGUAUAAGCCUGGGAAACUGGGUCUAAUUCCCGAUAGGACUGCAGGGUGGUGCCUGUGGUGGAAAACGAUUUUCUAGUGGUUGGGGAUGAGCUCGCGGCCUAUCAGCUUGUUGGUGGGGUAAUGGCCUACCAAGGCGGCGACGGGUAGCCGGCCUGAGAGGGUGGACGGCCACAUUGGGACUGAGAUACGGCCCAGACUCCUACGGGAGGCGGCAGUGGGGAAUAUUGCACAAUGGGCGGAAGCCUGAUGCAGCGACGCCGCGUGGGUGAUGACGGCCUUCGGGUUGUAAACUCCUUUCGACCGCGAGGAAGCCACCUGGUUGGAAGGGUGGUGACGGUAGUGGUAGAAGAAGCACCGGCUAACUACGUG
This 494-nucleotide ribosomal RNA is filed under the name uncultured bacterium. Its description in RNAcentral is "partial 16S ribosomal RNA". It matches the Rfam family "Bacterial small subunit ribosomal RNA", at positions 28 to 507 of the family's 1533-position model. The record is from RNAcentral.